This 216-nucleotide long non-coding RNA is filed under the name Elaeis guineensis (African oil palm). RNAcentral's name for it is "long non-coding RNA (EGUI_LNC013970)". The record is from RNAcentral. Lineage: Eukaryota; Viridiplantae; Streptophyta; Magnoliopsida; Arecales; Arecaceae.
UGGCUUCUCUUCAGUCUCUUACCAAAUUCAGUGCACAUGCCAUGGUCAAGUGAUAUACAAUUUCAUGAUACUGGUUUGUAAUAAUCGUCCAAGGUUUGCAUCCUUCGUAGCUCAAUGCUUUCAAAGUCCAAACUUGCUUGUUGUUUUGUUUCUUUUUGGCUAAGCAAGCAAUUAAUAAAUUGGUUUAUAUAUGUGGAAAGUUGCAAUUCUGAUUUG